GCCCACAAGGAGAUCCUGGAUUUCCAGGUCCUGCAGGUGACAUGGGGUCAGUUGGACCUUCUGGCCCUGUGGGCCUGCUAGGAAGACCAGGAGAUGAUGGAACAAGUCUGCCUGGCCUGCCAGGAAUAAGUGGGGCACCAGGACCUCAAGGUUUUCAAGGUGACCCUGGUUUGCCUGGAACGGGUGAAGCAAUUCCAGGAAGACCUGGAUUUCCUGGACCACCUGGACUACCAGGACAGCCAGGAAGACAAGGCUUACCUGGACUACCUAGUAUGUUGAACAGCAAUUUAUGUUUUGAGAAUAUCAUUACAGAUUUAUUGCUUUUGUUGGUCCUACAAAAAUCUGAGAACUGCCUUUUGACAGAUGUAUAAAAUUUUACAUGUAAUGUACGAAAUGUGUUUCCCAUUAAUUGUCAAUCCGGAAGAUGUCAAGAUUUUAGCUUCCUGGGUGACUUAAACCCACAAAAUAACAUAACAUAUAAGUAAUGCUCCUGAAGAUGUAUCAGCAGAAGUUAAAAACACAGUCAACUGGGGAGUAAGUCCAAAUCACCAUGCUUUACUAAAGCAACAAGCUGUAAAAUUUUACAGUGGAAAAAAAGAAAAAUAGCAAUGAAAAAAACGCGUCAACAUCAACUCUAGUUAGACUUCCUUGCGUAGUACGAUCUGUAAGCAACAACUUGUAAAGUAUUUUGUUUUUUUCAAAGGUGUAAUUUGUACUGAGAGAGGGAUUCCUGGAGAACCUGGAGCAAAAGGUCAGAUAGGCCUUCCGGGAAGAAAAGGUGAAAAAGGAGAAAAAGGUAGGUAUACCUGGAUAGCAACAAUUUGAAUACGAGACCUUUGUCUUAGGACUUAGCACUUCAGUCCUAACAAAAAUUUAUGGCAACUUGUAUGAUCAGGACCAUCAAAAUGUAUAGUUAAAUAGCUGUUGGUAUUGCAGCUUUUAAGUCAGUAGAGUCACACACUACAGCAAUUAUUCAGCACUGUAAAAAUAUACUGAUAAGGUUCACUCUUCUGAAGGCCAUCAUGAGAUAAAAUGGUCUGUGCACUACACAUACAUAAAAGAAAGAGGACAGUAUUUUAAAAAUAUAUUAUGCAACUGUUUCAAUGUAAUUUUGAUACAUUUACAGGAAAUCAAGGCCUGUGCUCAUGUAGUGCUGGUCCUCCUGGUCCCCGUGGUAUACAAGGACCUCCAGGUACUCAAGGGAAGAAAGGACAAAUGGGUUACCCUGGAAGACAUGGAGAAAAGGGUGAUCCAGGCUUAUCUGGUGCAGCUGGAUCACCAGGGCUCCCUGUGAGUAGUUUCAUGAGCUUCAGUAAGUAAAUCAAAUUAACAGAUCGCUCACACAGGAGGCAUUUUAGAGGAGCAGUGGAGGAACUGGCCUGGAAAGCCAUGUAAAAGUUUGAUUUAAUUCUGCUUUUUUCAGUCCCGUAGGAGGAUACAUUUUAUUAGUUUUUAUCUGAUUUCCCUUCCAGCAGUGGUAAGAGUUUUACACUGAGGGACAGAAUGCAAUUCUGUGCUGAUGGUGUCAUCAGGAGGCUUAGUAAAGAUGGUGUGUGUUCAUGUAUUUUGGUUUUGAGUCAUUUUUAAUUUUAGUUGUAAAUACCCAUUGUUUUUCUUGAAAAAAAAUACAGAUGCACCAGUUGACUGAAGAUGAUUUUUUCAGUUAGUUUAAAUGAAAGUGUUUCCAGCAAAAUUUUAUCAAGACAAAGACUUGCAUGAUCUCGUGAGGUCAAGAUGUAUUACACCAACAUCUGUGUGUGUAUGUGCGAAGGAACCCUUGUUUUUAUUCAAGUAUUUCAAGUCACUUUCUUUAUUCCUUUUCUUUUUUUAGAAAUUGAGAUGCUUAACUUACUUGUUGAGCUUAAUUUAUUUGAUGGAGUGGCCUGAACAAAAUACAGUCUUUCACUCCCAUCGACUGUGAAAGCAGUGCUAUUUUUUGUUGUUGUGUUUAUCCCUUCAUUGUUUGGUAUUACUUUUUCAUCUCCCAUUUUCAGACACUACUCAGCCAAAGUUUGUUCCUUACAUGGAUCAGCCACUAUAGGCAAAGCCAUAUCUCUUUAUGACAUGCAUAUUAGCAAUUAAGCUGAAGUGGCAUCAACAUUUUGCCCAGUCCUUAGAAAGAAAAACUAUGAUGAUCCUCAAAAUAAAGACUUCUAGUUCAUUUGAAUAGCUUCCUUG
RNAcentral lists this long non-coding RNA (2178 nucleotides) under Numida meleagris (helmeted guineafowl). Its description in RNAcentral is "lncRNA (ENSNMEG00000005800.1)". Lineage: Eukaryota; Metazoa; Chordata; Aves; Galliformes; Numididae. The record is from RNAcentral.